Equus caballus (horse) is the source of this 381-nucleotide non-coding RNA. Lineage: Eukaryota; Metazoa; Chordata; Mammalia; Perissodactyla; Equidae. The record is from RefSeq and is a predicted model, not a curated record.
AUGGCCUUGUCAUAUACCUGGGGCCUUGGGGCUGGCUGUCAGCUGGGGCGCCUCAGUCGUCCUUUGUGUGACCUCUCUCCAGCAGGAUAGCCAGGACUUCUUAUAUGACCAGCUUCCCAGAGUGCAAACACAGAAGCUGCAAGUGACGUAGCACCAUCAUGUCCAUCACAUUCAAUUGAUGAGGAAAUUGUGGCUCUGAGAGGUUGAAGCUCCAGGAUCUCUUAGCAAAGCAAAUGGCUAAGGCAGACGGUGUCAAGCCUGAAAGCUCUCCCCACCUUCUCCUGCUCCCUCACGCCCCUUCAUUCUUCACGUCAUUUUGGCAUCUGCUUCUUGUUAAAAAAAAAGGAAUUUAUGGAGUAAAUUUUAAAGAUCUUAUCGGCU